RNAcentral lists this small RNA (29 nucleotides) under Bombyx mori (domestic silkworm). Its description in RNAcentral is "ovarian small RNA-31394". The record is from RNAcentral. Lineage: Eukaryota; Metazoa; Arthropoda; Insecta; Lepidoptera; Bombycidae.
UGACAGCGGCGCAACGAUGUCCCGACCUA